This 272-nucleotide ribosomal RNA is filed under the name uncultured Burkholderiales bacterium. Its description in RNAcentral is "partial 16S ribosomal RNA". It matches the Rfam family "Bacterial small subunit ribosomal RNA", at positions 524 to 795 of the family's 1533-position model. The record is from RNAcentral. Lineage: Bacteria; Pseudomonadati; Pseudomonadota; Betaproteobacteria; Burkholderiales.
UACGUAGGGUGCAAGCGUUAAUCGGAAUUACUGGGCGUAAAGCGUGCGCAGGCGGUUAUGCAAGACAGAGGUGAAAUCCCCGGGCUCAACCUGGGAACUGCCUUUGUGACUGCAUAGCUAGAGUACGGUAGAGGGGGAUGGAAUUCCGCGUGUAGCAGUGAAAUGCGUAGAUAUGCGGAGGAACACCGAUGGCGAAGGCAAUCCCCUGGACCUGUACUGACGCUCAUGCACGAAAGCGUGGGGAGCAAACAGGAUUAGAUACCCUGGUAGUC